Cygnus olor (mute swan) is the source of this 176-nucleotide long non-coding RNA. RefSeq lists it as uncharacterized. The record is from RefSeq and is a predicted model, not a curated record. The transcript is spliced from 3 exons. Lineage: Eukaryota; Metazoa; Chordata; Aves; Anseriformes; Anatidae.
UUUACUGAGCUGGAAAGAUAAAAAUUAAUGGAAUCAUAGAAUAUCCCAAGCUGGAAAGAACGCACAAGGAUCAUCAAGUCCAACUCCUGGGUCCACACAAGACCACCCAAAUAAUCAGACCAUGUGUCUGAGUGUUAUCCAAAUACUUCUAGAACUCUGUCAGGCUCGGUGCCAUG